AUCCUUCAGUUCUUAAGUGUGAUAAUUGGAUGUUCAUUUCUCAUGCAUGAGAUAUGCCUCCCUCAAAUCUUGUUACGACAUCAGCACAUUACGUGAAA
Molecule: small nucleolar RNA, 98 nt
Organism: Cavia porcellus (domestic guinea pig)
Lineage: Eukaryota; Metazoa; Chordata; Mammalia; Rodentia; Caviidae
Rfam family: Small nucleolar RNA U13
Source: Rfam